GGAAAGAUGGCUGAGUUGGUCUAAGGCGCACGACUGGAAAUCGUGUAACGUGUAAAAGCGUUCCGGGGUUCGAAUCCCCGUCUUUCCGCCA
This 91-nucleotide transfer RNA is filed under the name Candidatus Faecalibacterium intestinipullorum. RNAcentral's name for it is "tRNA-Ser". It matches the Rfam family "tRNA". Rfam says of the family: Transfer RNA (tRNA) molecules are approximately 80 nucleotides in length. Their secondary structure includes four short double-helical elements and three loops (D, anti-codon, and T loops). Further hydrogen bonds mediate the characteristic L-shaped molecular structure. tRNAs have two regions of fundamental functional importance: the anti-codon, which is responsible for specific mRNA codon recognition, and the 3' end, to which the tRNAs corresponding amino acid is attached (by aminoacyl-tRNA synthetases). tRNAs cope with the degeneracy of the genetic code in two manners: having more than one tRNA (with a specific anti-codon) for a particular amino acid; and 'wobble' base-pairing, i.e. permitting non-standard base-pairing at the 3rd anti-codon position. Lineage: Bacteria; Bacillati; Bacillota; Clostridia; Eubacteriales; Oscillospiraceae. RNAcentral also lists the same sequence under 1 other name. The record is from RNAcentral.